Molecule: ribosomal RNA, 497 nt
Filed under: uncultured bacterium
Lineage: Bacteria
Description: partial 16S ribosomal RNA
Rfam family: Bacterial small subunit ribosomal RNA
Source: RNAcentral
GAUGAACGCUGGCGGCGUGCCUAAUACAUGCAAGUCGAGCGAACGGACGCGAAGCUUGCUUCUCUGAUGUUAGCGGCGGACGGGAGAGUAACACGUGGAUAACCUACCUAUAAGACUGAUAUAACUUCGGGAAACCGGAGCUAAUACCGGAUAAUAUUUUGAACCACGUGGUUCAAAGGAGAGAGACGGUCUUGCGGUCACUUAUAGAUGGAUCUGCGCUGCAUUAGCUGGUUGGUACGGUAAAGGCUUACGAAGGCAACGAUGCAUGACCGACCUGAGAGGGUGAUCGGCCACCUGAGAGGUGGGACAGGGUCCAGGCGCCUGAGGGAGGCAGCAGUAGCGAAUGUUCCGCAGUGGGGGAAAGCAUGGCGGAGCAACGGCGAGUGAGUGAUGGAGGUGCUCGGAGCGGAAAACUGUGUUAUUAGGGAUGAACAUAUGUGGAAGGAACUGUGCACAGCUUGACGGUAACUAAUCAGAAAGCCACGGCUAACUACGUG